GUAGGGUCCGAGCGUUAUCCGGAAUCAUUGGGCGUAAAGAGCUCGUAGGCGGUUCAGCAAGUCGGCUGUGAAAGUUCGAGGCUCAACCUCGAAAUUGCAGUCGAUACUGCUGUGACUUGAAUUCGGUAGAGGAGAAUGGAAUUCCCGGUGUAGCGGUGAAAUGCGCAGAUAUCGGGAGGAACACCAGUAGCGAAGGCGGUUCUCUGGGCCGAUAUUGACGCUGAGGAGCGAAAGCGUGGGGGAGCAAACAGGAUUAGAUACCCUGGUAGUCCACGCCGUAAACGUUGGAUGCUAGGGUGUGGCGGUCUACCAACGACUGCCGUGCCGAAGCUAACGCAUUAAGCAUCCCCGCCUGGGGAGUACGGCCGCAAGGCUA
This 376-nucleotide ribosomal RNA is filed under the name uncultured organism. Its description in RNAcentral is "partial 16S ribosomal RNA". It matches the Rfam family "Bacterial small subunit ribosomal RNA", at positions 527 to 896 of the family's 1533-position model. The record is from RNAcentral.